Non-coding RNA from Xyrichtys novacula (pearly razorfish), 284 nucleotides. The record is from the annotation of a GenBank genome assembly. NCBI's taxonomy places the organism in Eukaryota, Metazoa, Chordata, Actinopteri, Labriformes, Labridae.
GCGGCCGAGAAUCGCCACUGCUGCAAAUAAAAAAAGAAUGCAAAGAAAGGGGUCGCAAUGGAAGUUACCGAUGCGAAAAAAGAAACUGAAGUCCACUGCAGAUAAAAAAAGAAACAAUGUGGAUAUAUUUUUAAAAAAAAGCCGCAACGGAAGUUAAAGACGCAGCUCACUUCCAUUUUUGAGUUGCAGCGAGCUUCUGUUUCUUUAUUUUUGCAUCGGUUACUUCCGUCGUCACUUCAUUUUUGGAUUCUUUUUUAUUUCCAGCAGUGGUGAUUCUUGGCCAC